Molecule: ribosomal RNA, 452 nt
Filed under: uncultured bacterium
Lineage: Bacteria
Description: bacterial SSU rRNA
Rfam family: Bacterial small subunit ribosomal RNA
Source: RNAcentral
UACGGAAGGCGCAGUGGGGAAUAUUGCACAAUGGGCGCAAGCCUGAUGCAGCCAUGCCGCGUGUAUGAAGAAGGCCUUCGGGUUGUAAAGUACUUUCAGUCGUGAGGAAGGUGUUAAGGUUAAUAACCUUAGCAAUUGACGUUAGCGACAGAAGAAGCACCGGCUAACUCCGUGCCAGCAGCCGCGGUAAUACGGAGGGUGCGAGCGUUAAUCGGAAUUACUGGGCGUAAAGGGCACGCAGGCGGUUAAUUAAGUUGGAUGUGAAAUCCCCGGGCUUAACCUGGGAAUGGCAUUCAAGACUGGUUAGCUAGAGUCUUGUAGAGGGGGUAGAAUUCCAUGUGUAGCGGUGAAAUGCGUAGAGAUGUGGAGGAAUACCGGUGGCGAAGGCGGCCCCUGGACAAAGACUGACGCUCAUGUGCGAAAGCGUGGGGAGCAAACAGGGAUUAGAUACC